Molecule: non-coding RNA, 28 nt
Filed under: Mus musculus (house mouse)
Lineage: Eukaryota; Metazoa; Chordata; Mammalia; Rodentia; Muridae
Source: RNAcentral
UCGGCCAUCAGAUGUCCUACUAACUUGA